GAUGAAGAACGUGGCGAAAUGCGAUACUUGGUGUGAAUUGCAGAAUCCCGUGAACCAUCGAGUCUUUGAACGCAAGUUGCGCCCGAAGCCAUUAGGCCGAGGGCACGCCUGCCUGGGCGUCACACGUCGUUGCCCCCCCCAUCUACUCCUUCGGGAUUGCGGGGGGCGGAUGAUGGCCUCCCGUGCGCCUCGCCGCGCGGUUGGCAUAAAUGCCAAGUCCUCGGCGACGCACGCCACGACAAUCGGUGGUUGCGAAACCUCGGUUGCCCGUCGUGUGCGGUCGUCGCGCAUCGAGGGCUCGAAAAAAUUGCCGAGUUCCGGCUCGGCUUUCAACGCGACCCCAGGUCAGGCGGGGUUACCCGCUGAAUUUAAGCAUAUCAAUAAGCGGAGGA
RNAcentral lists this unclassified non-coding RNA (392 nucleotides) under soil metagenome. Its description in RNAcentral is "partial contains 5.8S ribosomal RNA, internal transcribed spacer 2, and large subunit ribosomal RNA". The stretch from base 1 to 122 matches the Rfam family "5.8S ribosomal RNA", at positions 35 to 154 of the family's 154-position model. The record is from RNAcentral.